CCCUUAGAUGAUUUGGGCCGCACGCGCGCUACACUGAUGCGUUCAACAAGUUUCCUUGGCCGAGAGGCCUGGGCAAUCUUCUUAAUAUGUAUCGUGAUAGGGAUAGAUUAUUGCAAUUAUUAAUCUUGAACGAGGAAUUCCUAGUAAACGCAGAUCAUCAAUCUGCAUUGAUUACGUCCCUGCCCUUUGUACACACCGCCCGUCGCACCUACCGAUUGGAUGUUCCGGUGAAGCCUCGGGAUGAGGACUGGUGCCUUUAUUGGCAUGAGUUGUUCAGAACUUGUCUAAACCUUAUCAUCUAGAGGAAGGUGAAGUCGUAACA
This 322-nucleotide ribosomal RNA is filed under the name uncultured eukaryote. RNAcentral's name for it is "partial 18S ribosomal RNA". It matches the Rfam family "Eukaryotic small subunit ribosomal RNA", at positions 1470 to 1796 of the family's 1831-position model. The record is from RNAcentral.